AUGUAGUCCUAGAUGCACAAACACUUAAUUACUAAUUACUAGUGUUGACAAUGUCAGAUUUUUUUUCUUGGUAGUACUUCUUCUUCUUAUUGUUCUAUGUAGUUGGAUGUAGUUUGGGGAAUUUACUUAACAUGUAACUUUGAUUUCUCUUUCCAAUCAUUCCUCACGGAGAGUUUAUGCCAUGGACGUCAGGGGUGGAAUUCCAGAUGAAUUAUGGGGUCUUACCUUUCUCGAUCAUUUUUACUUGCUUCCUCUAACUGUAGUUUCAUCCUAUACUUUCGUGUUUUAUCUCCCAGCUACUAAUAUUUUAGUUACAAAUUAUAGGAAUUUGGCCCAAAUUUACUUGACGGGCAUAUUAUCCCUAUCCAUUGGCAAUCUGACUAGGAUUAAAUGGUUGUAAGUCUAAUCUAUUUCAGUUAUUUAUGCACAAUCGUGAUAGAUUGGUAUCGGCAUGUCUGGAAUAAUUUAGAUAUUUGGUGUAUGCAGAUUCUUUGGCACCAAUUAUUUGUCAGGGGAGAUUCCACAGGAACUUGGAUUAUUGACUAAGUUACAAUUAUUGUAUGUUCUUAUACUUAUAUGUGUUGGACCCCUGGUUUCAUGAUAUAUCAUGCAUCAAUUCUAUAUGAAAAGCAUCAAUCUUCAUCGUUUCUUCUUCAUUUGUUUGUCAUUCUCCUGUGAUGCAGAAGUUUUGGCACAAAUAAAUUCUUUGGGCCUCUUGCUUCAGAGCUUGGAGACUUAACAAAACUGACACAAAUUUCAGUUAUGAUGCAUUGAUUUACAUCUUACAAAACCACUACCACGUCAUUUUAAUUGUUAGAUUUUUCCAGUUUGCAUGAGAAAUUUGUUAUCUGUUUAUGAACAUGAUACGAAAUCUAUAUGGUGUUGUGUUGUUUUAAUUUAUACAUUAAAUGCAAGGCCCUGAAAAUUAUAUCAGUAGAGUAGGAGGUGGAGGUUGUUAACGUCUCCACGAUCUAAUGCAAUCUAUGUUAUGCUUGCUUUAUUUUCAUGCUAGCGAAGGAGUAUAGUUAAUUAAUCCCUUCUCUAAUUUUCUGUAUAAAGUAAUUAUUCAUUAUUUGAAAAGUAUGAUAAACUAUGUUAGGUUGUAAACAUUUGUCACAUAAAUUGCACAAAAAAUGCAAAAUACAACAAGGUCAAGACAUAUAACUCUCAUUUUACGCACAUUAGUAUCUGUUUUCCUUGUUCCUUUUUCAUUUCGUUUCUCUUUCCAUUCUACAUGCUUGAAGCUUUAAAAUUUUAAUUUGAACAUGCAACAUACAGAAAUAGAAAGUAAAGAAAAAUAGUACUCUCUCUGUUUCAUUUAUGUUGGCCCCUAUACCAAAAAUAGAGUUUUAUUACUUACUUCCUGUGCUAUUCUUAGUAUUAAAUAACUACAUAACUUUAGAAUUACAAAGAAUCAUUAAUAAGGUUAGUUUAGUAAAAUACACCUCUAAUUCCAUACAGAUUAUGUGGAAGGAAGGCACUUUCUAGGGAGGUGGCUUAUGUUGUUGAAAGCCUGGCUCAUUAAAAAGUAUUCCAGGUCAAUAGGGGCAAGUGAAAAACAAUGAUAUACCCAAUGUAUUCCUACAAAGUAGGGUCUAGAAGGAUAGAGUGUAUACAGUCCUUACCUCUACCUUAUAUAUUAGGUAGAGAGGUUGUUUUCGAUAGACCCUUGUCUCCAGAUAAAAACAGUCUAGAAAAAGACUUAAUUAAAGUAGAAGAGACAAUAGGUAGUUAAAAAAACACCAGAUAGUAGCAGAGUAAUACUACAAUUGAACUGCAUGAAACAACAUAACAUAACUUGAAAUAUUUAGCACACAUAUAGACAAGAAGAUGCCAAACAUUACAACAUAUACAAAUGCAUGAGAAUUUCCAUCAAAUAUAGGAAAUAUAAGUUAUUUUUGAGGUUUAUAAGUUAAUUUUUCUCUUGGAUAGGCCUUUCUUUGAUUGUAGAAAUUUCAUAUGUUCAUAUGAUUUUUGCAAAGUACGAAACUUUUUUCUUAUAAUGUAAUAUGUCACAUCUUUAUUGCUUAUAUUUCUUUAUUUUUAAUUAUUCUGUCAUUUCAGUAGAUUUUUUAUGAAAUAAAAAACUGUUUUGCUGCGUAGCUAUAUUAAUAGUGCUGGUGUUAGUGCACCAAUACCAUUGACGUUUGCAAAAUUGCAGAACAUGGAUACGGUGUAAGAGCUUUCUGUCGCAUGCUCCUUCUUUGGCUUUUCAAUUUUUACUUGUACAAAUUUAUGUAGUAAAUCUCACUAGAAACUUAACUAUUCACGCUUUCAUGUGGGCUUCAGAUAAUGCUUUUACAGGGAGGAUUCCAGAUUUCAUUAAUAGUUGGUCAAGUGUUACUGCACUGUUAGACUCAGCUAUUUGAACUAUGUCCAAUUUGUUAUUCUCUAAUUCUUUCAAGAAUAUUGUCUUACCUUUUUCCUAUAACAUUGGUAUAAUUCCUUUACUACAUUUAUUCUCUAGCAUAGUCUAUCUUAGAUUUAUCUAUUGUCAUUGGAGGUUGAAGGAAAUGCAUUUUUCUAUCGUCGCCAACUGGCUUACUAAGGUAAGCUCCGAUUAACCCACAAGCAGAUGCCAAACAAUACAAAAUAUACAAAUGCAUUAGAGUUUUCAUCAAAUAUAGGAAAAUAGAAGUUAUUUUAAGGCAACAACUGUCAGCUUUAGCAAGAAACAUAUUCACCAGAAAUAUACUCUCUCCGACCCAAUUCAUGUGGCAUUGAUUUAAGAAAGAAAAACUUUUGAAACUUGUGGUUUAAAGAGGUCAUAAAUGUUUGCAUGGCCAUAUGUCACAUUUCAUUAGGGGUAAAAUGGAAAGUGUAAGAGUAAAUUGUUUUUGAAUGUCGAAAAAGUGUCAUUCAUGUUGGACAAACUAAAAAAGAAAGUAUGUAACAUAAAUGAGGCCAGAGUGAGUAUAUGCCAAUUAGUAUUACCAACCAUUUUCUUUGUUACUAUUUCAAAAUUAUUCGUGCAAACUAUUAGUUUCAAACCCAUUUUAGUUGGACACUCUCUUGCUUUCCUAGACUUAGGAAUUGUCUUUGUCUUCAUCCUUUUUUUCCUUUGUGUGGAAGGUGGUCCAUUCCCUUGCAUCGAUGCUAGAUGAGACAUUAAUACCUAAUCUCCUCACUCUCCUUCCUUGCAUUUUCAGAUGUGUUUGUCAUUUAUAUAUUGCCGUGAGAUUAGCUGCAUAUAGAUGUAUUACAGCUAUGGCCAUUUCAAUGACAUUGGAUCUGAUGGGUUCAGUUAUUGAGAAUGUGGUGCCUAUGUUAGGUGACAUUACAUCUAUACAUUCUAAACAAGGAGUUGACAUGCUUGUCAGCUUGGUUGUCCAAGGAUAUGGUAUAGAGUUGGUUCCAUAUGCUCCCCUCUUAGUAGUUUCCCUUCUGAGGUGUAUGAGUGAUUCAGAUCAUUCUGUCAGACAGAGUGUGACACAUCGUUUUGCAACCCUCAUGCCUCUACUUCCAUUAGCAUAUGGUGCUUCUCCUCCUAUUGGUCUUAGUGAACACCUAUCAAGAAGUCAAGAAGAUGUUAAAUUUUUGGAGCAGCUAAUUGGCAACUCUCAUAUUGACAAUUACAAACUCUCAACUGAACUAAAGGUGACAUUGAGAAGUUUCAUGCCUCCUACGGUAAACCACUACUAGCUGCCAGGGAUUCCAAAUGUUUAGCCAAGGAUGUUGAAGCAAGAGUGCUUACUAUGGAAGCAUUGCACAAGCAGGAUCAAUGAGGAGGAUCAAAUUUAAAUGGUGAGCGCCACAACUCAACUGGAUCUAGAUUGAAGUGAAUGAUGAAAAUUUUUGAAAUAUUUUGAUACACGUUUAUAUACAUUUGGUUUUGUGUGGAACUUGGUACAAAAUUUUUUUAUGUUGUUUUCUAACUAGUAUGUAAAAGACAUGUUUUUUAAAUCAAAACUAUGCACUUUAAUUAUUUA
Long non-coding RNA from Capsicum annuum, 3929 nucleotides. RefSeq lists it as uncharacterized. The transcript has 3 exons. The record is from RefSeq and is a predicted model, not a curated record. NCBI's taxonomy places the organism in Eukaryota, Viridiplantae, Streptophyta, Magnoliopsida, Solanales, Solanaceae.